Lates calcarifer (barramundi perch) is the source of this 667-nucleotide long non-coding RNA. RefSeq lists it as uncharacterized. NCBI's taxonomy places the organism in Eukaryota, Metazoa, Chordata, Actinopteri, Centropomidae. The record is from RefSeq and is a predicted model, not a curated record. The transcript has 3 exons.
UUCAUCAGGCGAAUGCCCAACACGACAAAGGAUAAGAUAAAAAAGAAACUCUGCAUUCAGAGGAGGAAUUACAGUCUGAAAAAGAAGGCAAUCAACGGCGAGGACAAAUACGGAUUGUAAUUACUCUCACUGCCAGAAGGGGGCGACACUGCGGAUUCCAACAAGACAUCGGACAUGAGCAAGUGAGUGAAAGAACAGAGGAGGAGCCCCAAUCUCCUGUCUUCCCACCUCAUUACCCGCACCUGGAUAGGACUGCAGGGGAUACUAAUUUAAGUCACUCGUUAGCAACGUCCUAAUGCGUUCUGACAGCAACAAGAGCCGGCGAUGGAGGGAAGGUGAAGGAGAAAGAUCGAAGGAGAGAGAGGGUGAGGGAGGGUGAGGGAGGCGCAGAAUUGUCUUGACAGAGACAACCACAGGACACAGCAACCAGAAGGAGGGAAAGCGUCUGUGCAUUACCAGAACUUUCCUUAUUUCUUGCUUUGAUUUCCAUAAAACAAGCAUCAUCCUAAAUCAUCUGCGCCCUCUCCGCUGGUGGCCUUGUAUGCAUAAACCAUUAGAUUCCAUUGCUAAUGCACACAAACUAAUGAACACAGUAUCGUUUUUUCCACUACUGUACACCGCAGCACGACUGGAAAUCAAAUAAAACCCUGUUUACCAAAUAAAUUCU